CCUACGGGAGGCAGCAGUGGGGAAUAUUGCACAAUGGGCGCAAGCCUGAUGCAGCCAUGCCGCGUGUGUGAAGAAGGCCUUCGGGUUGUAAAGCACUUUCAGCGGGGAGGAAGGCGGUGAGGUUAAUAACCUCAUCGAUUGACGUUACCCGCAGAAGAAGCACCGGCUAACUCCGUGCCAGCAGCCGCGGUAAUACGGAGGGUGCAAGCGUUAAUCGGAAUUACUGGGCGUAAAGCGCACGCAGGCGGUCUGUCAAGUCGGAUGUGAAAUCCCCGGGCUCAACCUGGGAACUGCAUUCGAAACUGGCAGGCUAGAGUCUUGUAGAGGGGGGUAGAAUUCCAGGUGUAGCGGUGAAGUGCGUAGAGAUCUGGAGGAAUACCGGUGGCGAAGGCGGCCCCCUGGACAAAGACUGACGCCCAGGUGCGAAAGCGUGGGGAGCAAACAGGAUUAGAUACCCCAGUAGUC
This 465-nucleotide ribosomal RNA is filed under the name uncultured Klebsiella sp. Its description in RNAcentral is "bacterial SSU rRNA". It matches the Rfam family "Bacterial small subunit ribosomal RNA", at positions 338 to 795 of the family's 1533-position model. The record is from RNAcentral. Lineage: Bacteria; Pseudomonadati; Pseudomonadota; Gammaproteobacteria; Enterobacterales; Enterobacteriaceae.